This 542-nucleotide ribosomal RNA is filed under the name uncultured bacterium. RNAcentral's name for it is "bacterial SSU rRNA". It matches the Rfam family "Bacterial small subunit ribosomal RNA", at positions 335 to 870 of the family's 1533-position model. The record is from RNAcentral.
CACCUACGGGUGGCUGCAGUGGGGAAUAUUGGACAAUGGGCGCAAGCCUGAUCCAGCCAUGCCGCGUGGGUGAAGAAGGCCUUCGGGUUGUAAAGCCCUUUUGUCCGGAAAGAAAAGCUCGAGGUUAAUACCUUCGGGUUCUGACGGUACCGGAAGAAUAAGCACCGGCUAACUUCGUGCCAGCAGCCGCGGUAAUACGAAGGGUGCAAGCGUUACUCGGAAUUACUGGGCGUAAAGCGUGCGUAGGUGGUUCGUUAAGUCUGAUGUGAAAGCCCUGGGCUCAACCUGGGAAUUGCAUUGGAUACUGGCGGGCUAGAGUGCGGUAGAGGAUGGCGGAAUUCCCGGUGUAGCAGUGAAAUGCGUAGAGAUCGGGAGGAACAUCUGUGGCGAAGGCGGCCAUCUGGACCAGCACUGACACUGAGGCACGAAAGCGUGGGGAGCAAACAGGAUUAGAUACCCUGGUAGUCCACGCCCUAAACGAUGCGAACUGGAUGUUGGGUGCAACUAGGCACUCAGUAUCGAAGCUAACGCGUUAAGUCGCC